UUCCUACGGGGGGCAGCAGUGAGGAAUAUUGGUCAAUGGUCGGGAGAUUGAACCAGCCAAGCCGCGUGAGGGAUGAAGGUACAGAGUAUCGUAAACCUCUUUUGUCAGGGAACAAAGGCGGGGACGUGUCCCCGGAUGAGUGUACCUGAAGAAAAAGCAUCGGCUAACUCCGUGCCAGCAGCCGCGGUAAUACGGAGGAUGCGAGCGUUAUCCGGAUUUAUUGGGUUUAAAGGGUGCGCAGGCGGAGGUGCAAGUCAGCGGUCAACUUGCGGGGCUCAACCCCG
RNAcentral lists this ribosomal RNA (284 nucleotides) under uncultured bacterium. RNAcentral's name for it is "partial 16S ribosomal RNA". It matches the Rfam family "Bacterial small subunit ribosomal RNA", at positions 336 to 617 of the family's 1533-position model. The record is from RNAcentral.